Molecule: long non-coding RNA, 2187 nt
Organism: Solea solea (common sole)
Lineage: Eukaryota; Metazoa; Chordata; Actinopteri; Pleuronectiformes; Soleidae
Exons: 2
Source: RefSeq, a predicted model, not a curated record
GACCCUUUCAUCUCACACUCAGAAUGAUCUGGAGAGCAUAUACGGUACAGUUUAUGGACAAUUUAAUUGGUUUGACCCGGCCAGAACUGAGAAACCCUGGACCCAGUGAAGAAUUACCUGCUGCUGUAUACUGGUAAUGGACCGGGACUGUGCCAGUUAGCCAAUGCAGACCAAACUGGACUAGACAUAAAAGCCUGCAAUCUAUUGUUUUCCACUGAGUGGGACCAGGAAGGACCUUUACUAGCCUCUCGCCACAUCUCUCCAGGAUCAUUUACACAGACCAGUGAUCGGGAGGAAAGCCACGUGUUAAAAGUCAAGAAAAACAAAUAAAACAGGACAGGAGGGACACGAUACAGCAUCACUGUUAUGAUCGACAUUAUUAUGAGAAAAAAUCUGCGUCAUCCCCAUUACUGUCAACCCUGAAUAAGUUUACAGAAAGGGAGUUCUACGUUCAAAGUCAGAAUAGUUUUAUCGUGAAGAAAAAAAUGCUGUGUGUCUCUAAAUGGCUGCACCACUUCCAUUUCUGCCAUCCCACCCUUGUUUUUGCCACAGUGUUUCCCCCACUCACGAAAUAUUUGAUGACAUUCCAUAUCUCAUUUACCGGUAACGUAAAAGGGAACCUAUUAUAUUUUUUGCCUUAUUUUACUAUUUAAUAUCACCUCACACGUUAUAACAUCAAUAGAGAAAAGAGAGAAAAGCUCAGGGCUCGGACUAAUGACGUGAUGCCCAAUUCAGCUAUGUUGCCUAUAUUCAAUUUUAGCUUACAUCUGCAUUUACACUGGUUAACAUUUGAGGAAGACAACGUGUGGGGUGGACAUGGCUACUGAAAUAGAAAGUGAAUGUGGUGUUAUUUUGAACUUUCAAAAUCCCCCAAGGCUUAAAAGGCUGGAAACCUCCGUCUGUAUGAGUCCCACUGGUUUGAGCUCUCAUCCUCCAUAGCACUGGUCAAAAGACAUACGAGUUGCAUUGAUGGGAAUAUCUGCAAAAUGCAGGUAUCUGAUUCAUAUCUGAUUUCUUUACACAUACGAAUGAGAUCUUCGGAUUCUGAAACGUGUGCUUUUUUUUCCCCCCUGCUUACACCUUCAUGGCUCAUAUCUGACUUGUGCCACAUGGGAGGAGAAGUAUAAAAAUAUAAUGUAUAAUCAGAAUUGGGUCACUUUGAAUUUUGCGGCAGCAUAUGCAGCCUAACUGACAUCUGAUUUAUUUAUAAAAUCAUAUGCUUCAAGCAGCGCUCAUUCUCCCAAAACAAUCUACUUGAGUGGCAAUACGAGCAUGCAAUGCACAAAUCCAACAAAUAACUAGAAAUAACAAAAACAACAAUGUGUUUUCUGACAGCAGACAUAACAUGUGUCAGUAAGCAGGUAGCAUAUAGCCCAGGCAUGCACCUUUUAAGCGAGGCAUGUGCACAAUUGUAACUGAAAGACAAAAGCUGUCAUUAUGUUACAGAAUAAAAAGGAAAAGUCUGUUAUAUUUAGUGCACAGAGUUGAAGUGAUGCUCACAAGGACUGGGUGUGAUUCUCCUUGGCAGGCGUCCUGGUGCUCAGUCAAUCAGAGGAAAAUGUGCUGCUAAAGAGGCCCGAGCUAAUGUUGCCUUUUUUAAGUAAGAGGGUUUAAAUUAGGGGGUGCGUUACAGGCAGUUUGAGAUAAAUGGAGACAGUUUUGAAGAGUGAAACAAAGCACACGAGUCCCAGAAUUCAAAUAAAAAAAAGAUAUUACUGAUGCAAUGAGUAUGAUGGGUCCCCUUGAACGCCGUUUCUGAAGAGCUGCACCGUCAUGGCCGUCAGACUAAAUCACCUUUACAUUGACCCUCCAAAUAUUUCCGUUGCCCAAAUAAUAGCAUCUCUUUCACCACCUUUACCCAGAGUCCGAUGUAUGGGCCACGCCUGCCACGUGAGAUAUGUGUCGUCCAUAUGUGCGCGUACCAUUCCUCUGUAAAAUCACCAUCAUUAUACUCAUGGCACAGUUUGUUUCUGCCGAGGUGUGUGUUAGUAGAGGAAAAGCCUCAAAUCGUUUGACCCAUCGUAGUAGAAUCACCUUCCCCACCGGUUGUGUCCCCUCCCAUUUUUUCUUUUUCGUUUGGGCUUUAUCUUUUGUAUUUGUACAUAAAGCAAUUUCAAAUCUUAUAGUUUUGUACAUGUAAUUUUUAUGGUGUGUCAAUAUUUUCUAAUAAAAUGAAUCAAAAAUGGA